This 612-nucleotide ribosomal RNA is filed under the name Salmonella enterica. Its description in RNAcentral is "partial 23S ribosomal RNA". It matches the Rfam family "Bacterial large subunit ribosomal RNA", at positions 711 to 1319 of the family's 2925-position model. Lineage: Bacteria; Pseudomonadati; Pseudomonadota; Gammaproteobacteria; Enterobacterales; Enterobacteriaceae. The record is from RNAcentral.
AGACCCGAAACCCGGUGAUCUAGCCAUGGGCAGGUUGAAGGUUGGGUAACACUAACUGGAGGACCGAACCGACUAAUGUUGAAAAAUUAGCGGAUGACCUGUGGCUGGGGGUGAAAGGCCAAUCAAACCGGGAGAUAGCUGGUUCUCCCCGAAAGCUAUUUAGGUAGCGCCUCGUGAAUUCAUCUCCGGGGGUAGAGCACUGUUUCGGCUAGGGGGCCAUCCCGGCUUACCAACCCGAUGCAAACUGCGAAUACCGGAGAAUGUUAUCACGGGAGACACACGGCGGGUGCUAACGUCCGUCGUGAAGAGGGAAACAACCCAGACCGCCAGCUAAGGUCCCAAAGUCAUGGUUAAGUGGGAAACGAUGUGGGAAGGCCCAGACAGCCAGGAUGUUGGCUUAGAAGCAGCCAUCAUUUAAAGAAAGCGUAAUAGCUCACUGGUCGAGUCGGCCUGCGCGGAAGAUGUAACGGGGCUAAACCAUGCACCGAAGCUGCGGCAGCGACACUCAGGUGUCGUUGGGUAGGGGAGCGUUCUGUAAGCCUGCGAAGGUGGCCUGUGAGGGUUGCUGGAGGUAUCAGAAGUGCGAAUGCUGACAUAAGUAACGAUAAAGCG